UGGAGCGGUAGUUCAGUUGGUUAGAAUACCUGCCUGUCACGCAGGGGGUCGCGGGUUCGAGCCCCGUCCGUUCCGCCAC
Molecule: transfer RNA, 79 nt
Filed under: Yersinia pestis Angola
Lineage: Bacteria; Pseudomonadati; Pseudomonadota; Gammaproteobacteria; Enterobacterales; Yersiniaceae
Also listed under: 8 other names
Description: tRNA-Asp
Rfam family: tRNA
About the family: Transfer RNA (tRNA) molecules are approximately 80 nucleotides in length. Their secondary structure includes four short double-helical elements and three loops (D, anti-codon, and T loops).
Source: RNAcentral